GUCUACGGCCAUACCUAGGCGAAAACACCAGUUCCCGUCCGAUCACUGCAGUUAAGCGUCUGAGGGCCUCGUUAGUACUAUGGUUGGAGACAACAUGGGAAUCCGGGGUGCUGUAGGCUCCU
This 122-nucleotide ribosomal RNA is filed under the name Schizosaccharomyces cryophilus. Lineage: Eukaryota; Fungi; Ascomycota; Schizosaccharomycetes; Schizosaccharomycetales; Schizosaccharomycetaceae. The record is from RNAcentral.